AUGCCAGGUGAGCUUGUUUUUGAUGUACAUCUGAUUCGUAGGAGGCCGAAACGAAUGAUGGUAGAGCUUGUAAUGCCCCCUUACUGUGGAGGCAUUCCAUUAGUAGCUCGCUAUACAAAA
RNAcentral lists this small nucleolar RNA (120 nucleotides) under Ananas comosus (pineapple). Lineage: Eukaryota; Viridiplantae; Streptophyta; Magnoliopsida; Poales; Bromeliaceae. The record is from RNAcentral.